Molecule: ribosomal RNA, 265 nt
Filed under: uncultured prokaryote
Description: partial 16S ribosomal RNA
Rfam family: Bacterial small subunit ribosomal RNA
Source: RNAcentral
UACGUAGGUGGCGAGCGUUAUCCGGAAUUAUUGGGCGUAAAGAGCGCGCAGGUGGUUGAUUAAGUCUGAUGUGAAAGCCCACGGCUUAACCGUGGAGGGUCAUUGGAAACUGGUCGACUUGAGUGCAGAAGAGGGAAGUGGAAUUCCAUGUGUAGCGGUGAAAUGCGUAGAGAUAUGGGGGAACACCAGUGGCGAAGGCGGCUUCCUGGUCUGUAACUGACACUGAGGCGCGAAAGCGUGGGGAGCAAACAGGAUUAGAUACCCU